Leopardus geoffroyi (Geoffroy's cat) is the source of this 2111-nucleotide long non-coding RNA. RefSeq lists it as uncharacterized. NCBI's taxonomy places the organism in Eukaryota, Metazoa, Chordata, Mammalia, Carnivora, Felidae. The transcript has 5 exons. The record is from RefSeq and is a predicted model, not a curated record.
GUUGAUGGUUGCUUAGGUUUGAACCCAUUCUCAAAGUACUAAAUUUUUGCCCCUUUAUUUUAGGUAUAUGGUGUCAUACUUUAUAUCCUUUUAUUUAUGUUUUUGAAAGAAAUGGGAAGCAAGAUCAUCAGCUGAGGGGAGAUGGUGUUGAAGGUUUAACGACAGAGAAGACAUGGAAUGAUUAAGCUGGCUUUUCCAUGUUGUUGCUGUCCUCCUGAUCCACUCUGGGAGAGAACAAAGUCACCAAUGCUCAGUGAAGAUCCUGCUACUCGGUUUAACUACAUUUCUCAGAUGAAUGGUGGGUACAAAAAGGAAUAACAAUGGAGGAGGACAAACAAACAAAAGAUGACUUCUUAGGACUUCUAAGAUAUAAAGGCCUCAUCCUUCUAUAAGAAUUAUUGUCCCAAGAAAGAGGAGCACGAUUGCCACCAGAGAAAGAGGAGGAUAUGAUAUAGAAGCCAUGGUGCACAGGGUAGGGAAGUGGAAAACUGGGAGGGGAGAAAGGACAGGAAAUGAGAAAAGGGCAGGAAAAUGUAUGUGCUUGUCUUUCUUCCUCCUUAGAGGUUAAUCUGUAAAGGAGAGAAAGUAGAUAUACUGAAAUACACUCUGAAGUUCCUCAAACGUGGCACAUCACAGAGAAGUUCUACACUCAGCCUGGGGUAGCAUGUUAGAGAGCAUUGAAAGAAGAAGAUUCUAGAUGGAUGGGCCAUGACAUCCCAUGAUCUUCAUGUGCCAAGGGGAGGUCCAAAGUUCCUGAUGACCCCACGAGGAAUGCAGAAGUGCUGAGAAAAUGCUGGGUCUGAAGAUGCCUCAGGACCAAGGGAACCCCCCGCUCCUGACAGAAGGUCCAAAAGAGGUGGAGCUUGUGACCCAGUGAAGGACACACAUGUGUCAACAAAUCCAGUGCAGUAAAUGAUACAACUGAGGCAGGUUCACAGUGUGGAAGAAACAUAGAACAAGAUUAAAUGGUUGGUCUUCUCAGGGUAGACGAUGUUCUAAUCAGACCCUGAAGGAUGAGAGUUUUCAUAGGUAGACUUCACUUGUCCCUGUGCUGAGGUGUCUCCCUGUGGAAUUCUUGCCAUUUAUGUCUCCUGAAAUCCCUCAUAUCAAACAUCACCUACUUCAUGAAAAUUUUUCUUAUCCUUCCCACCAGAUUUGAUUUCUCCUGUUUCCUAGUUUUCAUGGCACUCUCGACUUAGUAUCUGGGAAAUUCUCUGGAAAAUUCUCUCAGAUGGGAGAGACCUUAGCCAGAUUCUUCUGAACUGUGUUCAUUUUCAUAGUUGCUGAUCAAUAGCUCUGUAACAAAUGUUAGUCAUAGGUAAUGUGAAAUAGCUAGCCUAGAACGUAUAAAUUAGUUUUCACAGUGAAGCUGAUUUUGCCGCUUCCAAGUCCAUCUUCUUUAGUCUUGGCAAGGGGAGAUUUGAUGAUACAUAAGUUGUGAAAAAUAGAUUCCAGCUCAUGUCCUGUCCUUACAGUGUCUCAGAGGAUUUUCAUGGUUACUUUAUGAGGUAGGUACUAUUAUCCCCAUUUUAUAGAUGAGGAAGAAGAAACUCAGAAAUUUUAAGGCACUUGUCAAAUAUCACACAGCUGAUAAAUGGGAGCACUAAGAUGAAAUCAAAGUUGUCUGAUCCUGAAGCACAAAUUGUAUCUUGAUGAACAAAUGACAUCUUAAUGGAGAGCAUCUCCAGGGAUUACAGGUUUUACUGGGAGAUACAGUUAGACACAAUUCUGACUUGCUUUGGUGAUCAAAAUUGGUUUAUUCCAGCCUAAAUCAGGUCACUAGGAGAUGGUAAAACUUGAUUAUUCCAUGGAAAAGAGACCUACCAUGUAAAUUGUCAGGAAGAUUGUAUGUACAGAAGUUUUUGAAAACAAGGUGAGAGGGAUAUAUUUUUCUGUUUAAGUGUGGAACGCAAGAUAGAGACACCAAUGAACAAAAUGUAACAAAAUAUUCAGGUAGUGGGCUUAGCUCUGGAAAGUACAGGCUACUCCAAUCAGUGCCACUGAUUACCACAAACAUUUCUUACAAAUGUGUCUGAUAUGCAAGUUUCUCCUUCAUUUUAUGCCACUAGUGACAUUAUUAAGUAAUAAAAAAAUGUUUGGUUGAAAAUGGA